GAGGGCGGUACCGGGUGCUAGAGAGGAACAUAAAACGACUACUAGGAAAGACCUGUAUCUACCCUAAGGUUCCUAAACAGACAAAUGGCCGAGACUGUGGCGUGUUCACAGUGAUGUAUGCUGUGGGUCUACUGAAGGUACACCAUCAUGUCUGAUAUUAUUAAACAGCAAUUUCUCUGAAAUAAAUCAGUGAGAUGAGUCAGUAGUCAAAAUAAUUUAGUUGUUUUUUAAGUCAGUAAAGGACAUUUUACGGUAAUCUAUUUGAGUAAAAUGUGACUAUUCUUACAUUUACGAUUUUUUUUGUUUAAUUUUAUAUGUUAAAUGCAGAGUACACCCUCAUCCAACACAAAACAGUUUCUUGUACAAAUUUACAAAUUACUAAUGAAACUGUUUUGUGCCUUUUAAGGAAAGCAAUUGGAGCCAAAUACAGUGGCCAACACUCGUGUCAUCUGACAUAGAAGACACGGGGAGAAAGCUCAUACAUGACACAUUAAUGAAAUGGUGCUGUUGAAUACAAACGUGAGUAUGCCAGAAAAGGAAAACAAUUUAUACAUAUA
Haliotis rubra (blacklip abalone) is the source of this 557-nucleotide long non-coding RNA. RefSeq lists it as uncharacterized. The record is from RefSeq and is a predicted model, not a curated record. NCBI's taxonomy places the organism in Eukaryota, Metazoa, Mollusca, Gastropoda, Lepetellida, Haliotidae. The transcript is spliced from 3 exons.